RNAcentral lists this ribosomal RNA (506 nucleotides) under uncultured bacterium. RNAcentral's name for it is "bacterial SSU rRNA". It matches the Rfam family "Bacterial small subunit ribosomal RNA", at positions 34 to 518 of the family's 1533-position model. The record is from RNAcentral.
CGCUGGCGGCGUGCCUAACACAUGCAAGUCGAACGGGGAUUUGUUUCGGCAGAAUCCUAGUGGCGAACGGGUGAGUAACGCGUAGGCAACCUGCCCUCCGGCCGGGGACAACACUCCGAAAGGGGUGCUAAUACCGGAUACGAAGUCUGUGCCGCAUGGUACGGAUUUGAAAGAUGGCCUCUAUUUAUAAGCUAUCGCCGGGGGAUGGGCCUGCGUCCGAUUAGCUGGUUGGUGGGGUAACGGCCUACCAAGGCGACGAUCGGUAGCCGGUCUGAGAGGAUGAACGGCCACAUUGGGACUGAGACACGGCCCAGACUCCUACGGGAGGCAGCAGUGGGGAAUCUUCCGCAAUGGGCGCAAGCCUGACGGAGCAACGCCGCGUGAGUGAGGAAGUUCUUCGGAACGUAAAGCUCUGUUGUUCCUGACGAACCUCCCUUCUAUCAACAACGGAAGGGACUGACGGUAGGGAACGAGGAAGCCACGGCUAACUACGUGCCAGCCGCCGC